This 1705-nucleotide unclassified non-coding RNA is filed under the name Zea mays. RNAcentral's name for it is "misc RNA Zm00001eb400400". Lineage: Eukaryota; Viridiplantae; Streptophyta; Magnoliopsida; Poales; Poaceae. The record is from RNAcentral.
CCCUUCCCUUUCCAGCCGUCCCGGUCGCCCACCCCACUACCCCAGCCGCCACUCCCAGUCGUCCCAGCCUCCCAGCCUUCCCUGGAGGCCAGGACCCCAGCGCCCCACGCGGCCACGCCGGCACGCGGCACUGCGGCAGUCCCAGGCCCCCAGCCGCGCGCCCCCGCCCAGGCUCCCAGGCGGCGGCCAGGCCCCCGCCCCGCGCCCCCGCCCAGCAGGCAGCAGCCAGUCCGCCUCCGCCCGCUAGGACGGCUCCUAGUCGGCCAGUCUUCAGGCUUCAGCCCGCUGCCCCGCUGCGACGCUGCCCCGAGCGGUCGAGCUACGCCUGCGCGGCUGCGACCGGCGACCGUCCCCAAGCUGCGACUGCGACUGCGACCGGCGACCGUCCCCAACCUGCGGCGUCCCCGAGCCCUAGGCCCGACCCGCUGCCAUCCCUACCGCUGCCACCUGCGUCGUCCGCAAGGGAUCCAUCGCCGGCGAAGGAAGCCCUCCGAAAGCCGCACGAAGCUCAUUUGAUGACGCCCGCACACGCGACGAGCUCGUUCACCUACCAGCGGUUUACCGGCGGUGUGGUGGCUACGGAUCAACGGAGGCGCUCGCGUUGGCGUCGCUCAUUGACGACGAGAAGAAGCUUGGCGACUGCCAGUUCGACCUCUGGAAGCAGUACUACGCGGCCGCAUGCGUCGCUUUGUUCGGCAAGCUCCGGCAUAGCCGCCGCUUGGACGCGGUCCAGAGCGGCUGCACCGCGCUGUCCAUCUUCAAACAGGGGGACCUCAUGGUCGUCGCCAACGCCAGCGACUCUCGGGUUGUUCUGGGCAUCGCAUCCGACAACGACGCCGUCACGCCGUCCAGCUCAUCAUCCACCUGAAGCUCAACCUGCCACGCUUUCUGGAAUCACAUUUCUUGAGAACUAUCUGUUGGAGAGCUAAACUAGGCUCUUGUUCAUAUUAUGGAUCAGCAAGCUAAGAUUGAUGCUGAUUUUCUUGAACCAACUGUACUCUUAGAUGAGACACAUUACCAGGAGGGGUACAGAAAUGGCUAUAAUGAUGGUUUGGCAUCUGGAAAGGAAGAGGGGAGGCAGGUUGGUUUAAAGAUGGGUUUCCAGGUCGGUGAAGAACUGGGUUUCUUUCAGGGCUGUCUGGAUGUGUGGACGUCUGCAAUUCUCAUUGAUCAGAAUGCCUUCACAGCUCGGGUCAGGAAGAAUAUCGAGCAACUGGCUGCACUGGUGGGCAGUUAUCCGCUGUCCGAUCCGGAGAAUGAACAAAUUCAAGACGUGAUGGAGAAGAUAAGGCUGAAAUUCAGGGUCAUCACUGCAAGCUUAGGGGUGAAGUUAGAGUAUGAAGGGCACCCCAAAUCAUCUAAACAGGAUGCUGAGGAUCUGUAGCGGUGAUUGAAAUUACAUUUUAGUUUCUCCGCCCUUGCUGUUUAAAGCUCUUCAACUCAUUGGCAUCAUGAGGAACUGCAGUGAGACAUCAAUGGUCAGAGUCCGACCAUAACCACAUAUAUAGUUUUAACAAUGUCUCAAGUUUUGUGUUAUUACCUGCUGUCUGCUGUCUGCCAUAUGUAAUAGUUUCCUUUCAAAAGGCAAAUGCACUUCCUUCCCAUUUUCUUUGAAGUACUUGUAUCAAACACUCUGCGAUGAGAAUCCUGAAUUUCGUUCUUUUCUGAAGAAUAUAUGUACUCCUUUCUCAUAGUUGUUGGGGGC